Molecule: non-coding RNA, 395 nt
Organism: Cinara cedri
Lineage: Eukaryota; Metazoa; Arthropoda; Insecta; Hemiptera; Aphididae
Source: the annotation of a GenBank genome assembly
AUUGUACUAAGAAUUUUGACCCACGCAAUUAACAUCAUAUAAAUGAAAAUGUAUUUAUUGCUUUUAAUAAGUUUUUAGCAUCAAAUUUAGCUUCAGCAGAUAAUGCUUCUCGAUUUAAUAAACCAAACACUUUAAUGAAGUCAGACAAUUGUAAGUUUAAUGCUCUGACUGAUUUCUGGUUUGAAGACCACCUUAUGUUACUGUGACCCUUUAAAGAUAAAUGAAAGAUGUCCAUUAAAAUAUCCCAUCUUUGAAUGGAACUAGAAAAAAAAUUAAAUAACUUUUGUAUGAUUAAAAAAAAAAAAAAAGGCUUCUAUGCAUGAAUAAAAACUGUUAAUAUAUCCACUUAUUAUUUAGUAAUUUGGUACCCACGACCAAAACUUUUGGGGAAGGAG